Small nucleolar RNA from Pteronotus mesoamericanus, 132 nucleotides. RefSeq annotates it as small nucleolar RNA SNORA75. The transcript has a single exon. The record is from RefSeq and is a predicted model, not a curated record. Lineage: Eukaryota; Metazoa; Chordata; Mammalia; Chiroptera; Mormoopidae.
UCCUUCUCAUUGAGAUCUUUUCUGUCAAUCUGUGGCAGUCUACGGAUUCACACAAGAAGAGACAAUUCACAGAGCUAGCAUUAUUUUGCCUCCUGUCUUCAGAGGUACAUUCAGCUCUUUUGUGAGACAUGG